RNAcentral lists this ribosomal RNA (253 nucleotides) under uncultured bacterium. Its description in RNAcentral is "partial 16S ribosomal RNA". It matches the Rfam family "Bacterial small subunit ribosomal RNA", at positions 524 to 776 of the family's 1533-position model. The record is from RNAcentral.
UACGUAGGGGGCAAGCGUUGUCCGGAUUCAUUGGGCGUAAAGAGCGUGUAGGCGGCCAGGUAGGUCGGUUGUGAAAACUGGAGGCUCAACCUUCAGAGGUCGACCGAAACCAUCUGGCUAGAGUCCGGGAGAGGAGAGUGGAAUUCCUGGUGUAGCGGUGAAAUGCGCAGAUAUCAGGAAGAACACCCGUGGCGAAAGCGGCUCUCUGGAACGGUACUGACGCUGAGACGCGAAAGCGUGGGGACCGAACAGG